UAAAAUUUAUGAAAUUAAAAAAUUUUGGCGGUAUUUUAAGCUUAUUAGAGGAAUUUGCUCUGUGAUGGACACAACGCCUUAAUCUUACUUAAUUUAGUAAUUUAAAUCAGUUUGUAUACCACUAUAUUAAUUAUAUUGAAUAGUUAUAUUUAAAAUUUUUUUAAAAAAAAUAUAUUAAGUCAAGGUGCAUCUAAUAAUUAUGAAUGAAGUGAAUUACAUUAAUUUUAAUGUAAUUUUUUACAUGAAAAAAUUAAUUAGGAUUUAAUAGUAAAAUACUAAUAUUAUGAGUAUUUGAAUCAAGCUCUAAAAUAUGCAC
RNAcentral lists this ribosomal RNA (316 nucleotides) under Ixodes scapularis (black-legged tick). RNAcentral's name for it is "partial 12S ribosomal RNA". Lineage: Eukaryota; Metazoa; Arthropoda; Arachnida; Ixodida; Ixodidae. The record is from RNAcentral.